This 1039-nucleotide ribosomal RNA is filed under the name Salmonella enterica subsp. enterica serovar Agona. RNAcentral's name for it is "bacterial SSU rRNA". It matches the Rfam family "Bacterial small subunit ribosomal RNA", at positions 91 to 1126 of the family's 1533-position model. Lineage: Bacteria; Pseudomonadati; Pseudomonadota; Gammaproteobacteria; Enterobacterales; Enterobacteriaceae. The record is from RNAcentral.
ACGAGUGGCGGACGGGUGAGUAAUGUCUGGGAAACUGCCUGAUGGAGGGGGAUAACUACUGGAAACGGUGGCUAAUACCGCAUAACGUCGCAAGACCAAAGAGGGGGACCUUCGGGCCUCUUGCCAUCAGAUGUGCCCAGAUGGGAUUAGCUUGUUGGUGAGGUAACGGCUCACCAAGGCGACGAUCCCUAGCUGGUCUGAGAGGAUGACCAGCCACACUGGAACUGAGACACGGUCCAGACUCCUACGGGAGGCAGCAGUGGGGAAUAUUGCACAAUGGGCGCAAGCCUGAUGCAGCCAUGCCGCGUGUAUGAAGAAGGCCUUCGGGUUGUAAAGUACUUUCAGCGGGGAGGAAGGUGUUGUGGUUAAUAACCGCAGCAAUUGACGUUACCCGCAGAAGAAGCACCGGCUAACUCCGUGCCAGCAGCCGCGGUAAUACGGAGGGUGCAAGCGUUAAUCGGAAUUACUGGGCGUAAAGCGCACGCAGGCGGUCUGUCAAGUCGGAUGUGAAAUCCCCGGGCUCAACCUGGGAACUGCAUUCGAAACUGGCAGGCUUGAGUCUUGUAGAGGGGGGUAGAAUUCCAGGUGUAGCGGUGAAAUGCGUAGAGAUCUGGAGGAAUACCGGUGGCGAAGGCGGCCCCCUGGACAAAGACUGACGCUCAGGUGCGAAAGCGUGGGGAGCAAACAGGAUUAGAUACCCUGGUAGUCCACGCCGUAAACGAUGUCUACUUGGAGGUUGUGCCCUUGAGGCGUGGCUUCCGGAGCUAACGCGUUAAGUAGACCGCCUGGGGAGUACGGCCGCAAGGUUAAAACUCAAAUGAAUUGACGGGGGCCCGCACAAGCGGUGGAGCAUGUGGUUUAAUUCGAUGCAACGCGAAGAACCUUACCUGGUCUUGACAUCCACAGAACUUUCCAGAGAUGGACUGGUGCCUUCGGGAACUGUGAGACAGGUGCUGCAUGGCUGUCGUCAGCUCGUGUUGUGAAAUGUUGGGUUAAGUCCCGCAACGAGCGCAACCCUUAUCCUUUGUUGCCAGCGAUU